RNAcentral lists this ribosomal RNA (771 nucleotides) under Triticum aestivum (bread wheat). RNAcentral's name for it is "partial small subunit ribosomal RNA". Lineage: Eukaryota; Viridiplantae; Streptophyta; Magnoliopsida; Poales; Poaceae. The record is from RNAcentral.
GUAUUGAAAGACAAGUUGACACAUGCUCCUUUACUCCAACUUCCUGAUUUUAAUAAGACUUUUGAGCUUGAAUGUGAUGCUAGUGGAAUUGGAUUAGGAGGUGUGUUAUUACAAGAUGGCAAACCUGUUGCAUACUUUUUUGAAAAAUUGAGUGGGCCUAGUCUUAAUUAUUCUAAUUAUGAUAAAGAAUUAUAUGCUCUUGUUCGGACUUUAGAAACAUGGCAACAUUAUUUAUGGCCCAAAGAAUUUGUUAUACAUUCUGAUCAUGAAUCUUUGAAACAUAUUAAAAGUCAAGCUAAACUGAAUCGUAGGCAUGCUAAAUGGGUUGAAUUCAUUGAGGCUUUCCCUUAUGUCAUUAAACACAAGAAGGGAAAAGAAAAUGUUAUUGCUGAUGCAUUGUCUCGUCACUAUACUAUGCUUUCACAACUUGACUUCAAAAUAUUUGGUUUGGAGACCAUCAAAGAUCAAUAUGUGCAUGAUGCUGAUUUUAAAGAUGUAAUGCAGAAUUGUAAAGAAGGAAGAAUGUGGAACAAGUUUGUUGUUAACGAUGGAUUUGUGUUUCGUGCUAACAAGCUAUGCAUUCCAGCUAGCUCCGUUCAUCUUUUGUUGUUGCAGGAGGCGCAUGGAGGAGGAUUAAUGGGACACUUUGGCGUGAAGAAGACGGAGGGCGUACUUGCUACACAUUUCUUUUGGCCAAAGAUGAGACGGGAUGUUGAGCGUUUUAUUGCUCGCUGCACUACAUGUCAAAAAGCUAAGUCACGACUCAAUCCU